This is a long non-coding RNA of Passer domesticus (house sparrow), 3204 nucleotides long. RefSeq lists it as uncharacterized. Lineage: Eukaryota; Metazoa; Chordata; Aves; Passeriformes; Passeridae. The record is from RefSeq and is a predicted model, not a curated record. The transcript has 3 exons.
CUCUUGAAGCCCUUUUUGGUACUGGAAGGUGCUGUAAGAUCUGCCCAGAGUCUCCUCUUUGCUGGUUAUUUUGACAUGCUUACAGUCCAGCUGCCUUUUCCCCCUGGACUGGCUUUCCAUCAGGAAGCAGGCACACAGGAAGAUCCAUCAGCCAGCUUUUGCCUCCCGAGUUCUGUUCCCUGGGAAGCAUACAAAGGCCCAGGUUUCAGCAAUUAAGGCAUUCAGAGCUGGUGUUGUAUUUCACCACGAUUCUUGCUCCUGAAGGACUUUGGGCAGCCCUUUGGCCUUCCUCCCUUGCAUAAGCAGAACCAUGCAAGAACAACAGGAACUUGAGAACCUGCACAGGACAGGCUCCUUCAGUCUGAGCUCUCUGGAACAUCAAAAGCCACACGGUGACAUUGACCACAGGACAGACAGACAGACAGGAAAUUCCACCAACCACAGUGGCUGCUGGCAUGAGGUUGUGCUCCUGCCCCCUCAGCAGAUUCCUUCCUGCCUGUUGCUGAUUCACCACCAGCUGCUCACAUCUUCGUGCACUGCCCUGCCUGGUGGGCCUGCAACAAAAUUGGCAAGUACUGGCAGAACCUGGUGGUAUGUGAUGUUUGCCAACAAGUGGGCAUUAGCUGUGUCUGAAUGGGGUCAGACCUCACACCACAGGGGAUGCUCACUGGGUAUGAAACUGCACAAGGCUUCAACCAAAGAAGCCAAAGGAAAAGCACUGCAAGCAGAGUGUGACUGAUCUCAGCAUCCUUUUCAGCCCCCCUUGUGUACCUGAAGAAGAACCAGAGCACAGAAGGCUGUGUAGCUGCCUCUGGAGGGGAAAUGCCAGCAGUGCUGUGUGAAGAUUGUAUCGUGGUGUUUCUCAUUGCUCGUUUAAUGUGGAUGAAUGCAAGGGAAAGGAGCUGGAGGAUUGAUGGGAAGACAAGCAAACUCCUCAAGAGGCUGUGCUGAAAUGACAUGCAAAAAUGACUAACUGGCCAAGGGAUUGUGUUGUGCAGGAUUUAUUUUCCUGUUUAUGAGAAGGGGAUCAGUGUAGGAAUCCUCUACAUGAAAUAAUUUCAGAUUUUUUUUUCUGUAAGGUGUUUCCUAGAUCAAUAUUAAUGCCUCCAUGCUGAAGGAGAAGUUGGAGUUUAUGCUGCCUCAUGCAGAGAAAAUGUGAGGAGCCCAGGUAACCUUCUAUUACUGCAGGUAGGGAAAGGGAGGCGUGGUAAGAAAUGUAAUGCUGGGGUAGCAGGAACACAAGCUGGACCAGGCAUUAGAGGCUUGGUAAGGAGGGAAAUGAGCUCAAUGCAUAGAAAACACACACUUUCCCAGAGCAGUACAACUUCUCACAGUAUGGUAUUAUGUAAGUUCCUACCUCAGCCUAAAUUCCCUUUCCAGGCAGGAGCCAGGGUGAGGACAUGGCUUCAGAAAUGCAAAUGGAACCACAGAAAGUGGCUGAGGAUUCCCAGCUUCAGUUCCUAAACACAGGGACAUCACUUUCAGAAACACCAGGAAGCUGGACUGCCUUGUUUCCAGUGCCCAGUUCUCCCUGAUAUAUUCAAUAGGAAUCUAAAGGAACCUCACUUAUUUAUGUGAAAGGGACUUUGUUGGUUGCUGACUUGCAAUGGGACAUGUGACACAGGCCUGAAGCAAAUCAGUAAACACAGAAAUUUUCUCUUGAGAAGGAAAGGGUGGGGCAGAGGACAUGGUAAUUACAUGCUCUCAAUGAGUUCUGCUUUUCUUUGUUUGCCCAAAGCAGCUUUGGAGAAAGCAUUCCUAAUUGUGUAUUUCUCAUUUGCACUGCCUUUUCGUUCCCCUCAAAAAAUAUUCCCUUUAAGAAGGUUUGUCAUUCUUUGCAUGGAAUCCAACAGCAGUGGGGGGAUAACAGAAUAGGUGAUGGAUGAUGAUCUGGGAUGCUCUCCUGGAAACCCUGACUUGUGUUAAUACCAGCAGCAUUCAGAGGCCAAAGCUUGACACAGAGUGGCUCUAACAAGUCACAUGUUCCUAGGGGGCAUGCUGCUGUCCUUUUUCUCCUUCUCUAAGCUCUCCAGCUUUACUACCUCUGAGGUGUGAAGAGGAGGACUUGGAAACUGAAUGUGGGAUCUGUACUUUGCUGAGAACUAUGCAGAAUGAGACAUGUUGAGAGAAGGACAACAGUGAUGAAUGGGGACAUCCUGUUGAGCAAAAAGCAAGAGAACUUGCCACAGCAUUUAGUUGUCAUCUUGGCUGUGAGCAAGGGUGCCCUUGUUCCUCCCACACCAAAAGUUUCAAGCCCUAAGUCAUCCUUUGACAUCACCUGCUUUGCCUCAGGUAGCACUGCAAUCCUGUAGCUUAUAGUGAGUACCCCUUCCCCUGCCAGGACCUGCUGGUUUGGAGACACUGGCUGACUUGGCUCUGCCUGUAAGACCUGUGCCCACCAUGGCCCAUGGAAGUGGAGAAGGGAGGGGAGUGCCAGAGGAAAAGCUACAAUGCACCCUGACGGCAAAGUGAGCGUGCCAGUGAACGGUCAUUGCACAAUGCUGGAGCAAAAUGGAACAGAAACCCACCUCUUUGGAAAGGAGCAGCAGCCUCAAAAGACUCAGUGUUUGGCCGUGAUUUUCCCAUAGAUGUGUUUUUACAGCUGUGGUUAAUGUGUGACUAAUCCUCACUGUGCAGCAACCACACAACCACUCCUUGGAGCGGCGCGAGCGCGCGGCGGCUUUGGGUCGGAAGUAGAGAUGGUAACAUCUGAAAAGAAUCCUUAAAACUGACAACACUUCUGAGCAGGGCUCUAAUCAUUUAUGUCAUGCCUGAGAACCUUGCAGCCAGGCUCCAGUAUAUAUCAUAUGUGUAACAAAAAAGACAAACCAUCUCCCAAGAACAAUAAACAGUUCAAAGGCUUGUGUUCUCAGGCAGCUGCUAUCAAACAUUAACUGCACUAUUUGAGCAGGAAGAGCAGACUCAACCAGCAUUUUCAAGAGUAUUUGCAAACUCUCUUUUCCUCCAGUAGUACACUAAUAGCAAUAAUAAUAAUAAUAAUAAAGUCACAUUUUCAGUCUGAACAAAAGGUAGGUAAUAUUGCUCUGAAACAGCCAUAUUAAUAUUUUUCCCUGUGCCACCCUGAGAACAAUAAAACUCCUAGAAGUUCUUGAACCAUUGCUCUGUGUUAUGAAGACUGAACUGUUUCAUCAAGUUGUUCAUAAAGGCAACUUGAGGCCUGGAUAUUUUGAAUGAGAAAUGACA